Molecule: long non-coding RNA, 4984 nt
Filed under: Olea europaea subsp. europaea
Lineage: Eukaryota; Viridiplantae; Streptophyta; Magnoliopsida; Lamiales; Oleaceae
Source: RNAcentral
GUACCCUUUUGCGAUGGUAGGAAAAGGCUCAGAGUAGGUUACGGUCCAAGUGAGCUCCUUUAUUUUGAAUUUGUUAAUUCAGAUUGAAUCAAAUUUCUUGAAGUAGGAUUAGGACUUACGGUCUAUUGGUUAACAGCCAACCUCUACCAUUGUGGAAGUUACACGUCUCCUCACCUCUUUGAGGAAAAUAGUUUGGUAUGAAUAUGUUAGAUACUCGAUUGGGGGAGCCAAUAGUGAACCACACUCUCUAUUUGGCAAUAAUUAAAAUUCAGUAAGUUAAUGAUUAAUUUUGAGAGUUAUGCUACAAUGACAAAAGAAUUUGACAAAAUUGGAUGACAAAGUUGGAUCUACACCAAUCAUUUUAAAAAUAGAUUUUUAAAUCAUUUCAAAUCAGUGGUUUGCAUUCUGCCAACACACUUUGUAAAGCCACUUUUGUAAUCCAACUUUGUUGAAGUAUAAUUAUUGUAAUUUUGAUUAUGCAUUUUACAGAAGUCAGAAAUUUUUUAAUGGCAUAUUUUAUCAAUUUUUAUUGAAAUCUAUUAAAAUUUUGAUUUUGAAUCUCACAAAACAAGAGUUUGUCAACAUUGGCAUGUGGUGAGAAUUUCCAAGUACCUCUCAUUCUUUGCUAUAUUUUUUUUAAUUUACAAAUAAAAUUGUUUAUAAAUACUAUUUCAAUGGUGUUUUUAAAAGUUUAUUAAUUUGUUUUCAAGUUUAAGGAGAUUGCAGUACGAGUAUUUAUUUCACUGCCUGCAAGUAGCAUUUGUUAGCUCUCUGGUCGUCGUAUUGUGUUUAACUCCAUAUCCGAUGCCCUUGCCUUAUCUUUCGAUUGUCAUCAAGUGAGAGGAAAUAUCACAAUAACUUGUUUCUGUACUUUUGGGAUUACGAAGAAUUGUUGACGUAAAUACAUCAUUUGAGGGUAUAUUGUGAUGGAUCCAUAAGCUCUAAGUGGAAGAGCGCUCAUUGGCUUCGGGGGCUUAUGAGAGGUUGGUGGUUCAAAUCCGCCUGGAUCCGAUUAAUUUCGCAGUUUUGAACGAUUUUAUUUUGCCUUACUAGAGAUUUUUGAUGUUUUGGCUUGUUCUUAAUUUUUUUAUAUCUUAAUUUGUUUCAUUUUUUAAAUUAUAAAUCAAAUGAAAAAAAAAAAAUCUUAAAUUUUUUAAUAUAGAUAUCAAUAAAUUUUGAAAUUUUGGAGUUAAGAUGCCAACACUCUGUUCCUUUGCCUUUGCUACCGUUGUUCUUACUCUUAACAAAUAGAUUCGGGGACGGCCCAGAAUUAACAAUUAAGCUGGUUUUACAGUAGAGUUUGACAACGUGUUUGAUAGCAUUUUUAAUUUGGGUGAUCUGGUAAGGAAAAAAAAUUUUAAAAAAAUGCGGGACACGAAAGGAAUAAAGAAGUGAGGGCCCACGUGAAUAAAUUGCCCCAAAAUUCAUAACAUAUUCUUCCCCCAAAUGGUGGAACCCUCAACUUCGAGUCCAGCGAAGUUGUAAUCUGGGAAAACCAGGGAGAUAUUGUCAACGGUGGCCAUAAUCUUCUUGCCAUCAUCUUCAUCUUCUUCAAUUGUAGCUUCGUCUUAUCGGUUCAGCGGCUCCAACUUGUAACAGGCUAUAAGUCGUCAUCCAAAUCCAAACACCUCGUGAAGGUCCAUCUUCUUCAGUCCGACUUCCAGCUUCUUUCAGUGGAGCUCCGAGCUUUGUUUCCAUUUUUCAGUUAUACUCCAUCGAAAUGUGAAGCUGGUUGUCUUCCUUUAGUCUAGCUCACUCAAGCUUCUGAACGCGAGGAUCCAGCUUCUUUGGGUGUAGCUUCGAGCUUCGUCCAACCAACCUAACUUCUUGCUCCAGCUGCGUGUAAACCAAUCACCUGACCCAUUACAAGGUAUUAACACUUUGGUUUACUUACUGCAUUCUUCAAAUUUUUGGAAUUUGUAUGAUAUUGGUAAUGCAUUAUCCAAAAUGUCAAUGCAUCCAUAUAUGAAACCAUACAUUUCUCUGUUUUUUUCGUCAAAUUGGGGGUAGUGAUUUGUAUCGGUGUGUAUUGUACGGUGUUCAUGUUUUGCUGAACUUGAAUGAUUACAUUUUUAACAGCUGAAGAAAUCAUGGAUGAUGUGGAUAAGUAUAUUUUGGUGGAAUCAGACAACGAGAACGUGGAAGACAAUAUGAACCAAUUGGAAGAUGAAAUCGCAAAAGGAGAUGGUAAUAUUGUGCCCAAGGUCAGAAUGACGUUCAAGAAUGAAAAUGAAAUGUUUGAUUUCUACAAGGCAUAUGCCUAUGUCUUUGAUUUUCCAAUUAGGAAAUGGACAUCUAAAAAGGAUAACAAUGGAAUGUUGAAAUAUCCGACUUUGACAUGUAGUCGGGAAGGCAAAAGAAGUGGUACUACAAGUGGCUCUUUCAAGCCGCAACUGACAAUUCAGACGGAUUGUAAAACUAGAAUAUCUACAUAUUCAGAUAUUCAUGGCUCUUGGAGAAUUAACAUAGUUUGUCUAGAGCACAAUCAUAGAACAAGUCCGAUAAUGUCUAUGUUAUAUCAUUGUAAUCGAAAAAUGAGUACACAUGUCAAAAGGAAGCUUCAAGUGAAUGAUCUAGCAGGCAUUCCAUUACACCAAUCCUACGACUCAACAGUGGUAGAGGCAUGUGGCUGUGAGAACAUGACUUGCAUAGAAAAAAAAUCUCGUAAUUAUAUUGAGCAAGUUAGGCGACUACAACUUGGAGUAGGUGAUGCCACAACAAUACAAAACUACUUUUCGACAAUGCAGUCAAGGUGCUCGGAAGGUGCUCGGGUUUUUACUUUAGCAUGGAUUUAGAUGACGACUCACAUCUCAGGAAUGUAUUUUGGACAGAAAAUUGGCCUAUGCAGGCAUUUAAGGAGUUUGGGGAUGUUACAUUUGAUACUACCUAUCUGACCAAUAAGUAUGACAUACCAUUUGCCUCCUUUUGUGGGCGUAAAUCAUCACAGACAAUCGACACACUUGGUUGUGGUUUGGUGUCAAACAAGGACACAGACACUUUUGUGUGGCUUUUAAUAAAAUGGCUUAAGUGCAUGCACGAUCAAGUUCCAAAUAGAAUACUUACUGAUCAAGAGAGGAUGAUGCAAAAUGCAAUUCAGAUCGUAUUUUCAAAUACUAGGCACAGAUAGUGCUUAUGGCAUAUAUUGAAAAAGUUGUCUGAGAAGCUCGGCUACCACAUGGGUAAGGGUUCAAUACUUUCGACUAUUCGUGCAUUGGUUUUAUGAUUCCCAAACUAUCGAUGAAUUUGAAGGAGGUUGGAUAAUGAUGAUCAAGUCAUAUGGGUUGCAUGAUAAUACUUGGUUGUUAGGCCUUUACGAUAAUAGAGGUCGUUGGAUCCCUUGCUUUUUGAAAACUACUUUCUGGGCAAGGAUGUCGACGAUGCAAAGAAGUGAGAGCAUGAAUGCAUUUUUUUUGAUAGAUACUUUCAUUCAAAGACUUCUUUGGUAUAGUUUGUUGAACAGUAUGAACGGGUAUAACGGAAUAAGAUUGAGAAAGAGUUCCGAUUGAUUUUAAAUUAUUUUCACAAAUGGUACCGUAUGCGACAACUUAUUAUAUGGAGAAGCAGUUUCAGUCAGUAUACACCAUUUCAAAAUUUUCAGAAGUUCAAGCUGAGUUCAGAAGGAAAGUUUACUGCGACAUCGUAUCUUCCUCAAAAGGACUUCUUGGGAUGACAUACAAUAUAUGGGAAGAUGUCGUACAUGAACAACGUCGAAAGAAGAAAUCGUUCGAAGUUACGUUUCAACCCGAGGACUGUGAAAUUAGUUCCAACUGCCACUUGUUCGAGUUUAGAGGAAUAAUAUGCAGGCAUGCCCUCACCGUGUUGAUUCAUAAUGACAUAACAUCACUUCACGAGCAGUGCAUUUUGCGACGAUGGAGAAGAGAUGUUAGUAGAGCAUAUUUAAGGGUCACGGUCAAUUAUGACGGGUUGGUUAGUUCUCCUAGAUAAUUGAGAUUUGACAGUACGUGCCAAGCUUUUGCUACGCUGGCAAAUCUUGCUGCAGAUGACAAAGUUUAGACUUGUGUCAUAAUAGAAUGGAUUGGACUGCAAUCCAAGGAGCUAGUGAUGACGAAGUCAAUUUGUGGAAAUAAUACUAUUUCGCAUUGAAACAAUGAGUUAGCCGCUAUACAUACUAAUUCCCAAAAUAAUACGAACUAGAACAUAUUGGAUCCGACACUGUGCCGAAGAAAAGAAGCACAAAAAAACUUCGACGAAAAGGACCUUUAGACUCUUCUUCAAAGAAGGUACAGGUUUAUUAAAAGUUUCGUCGAGAUUUGAAAAUUAUUUGUAUACACAAAGUCUCAUUUAUUAUGAAGUACAUAUAGUUAAAUUUGACUUCAAUCAAGUGAAAGAGGCUGACAUGAAAGCAUAGUAGUACAUGUGUGGGUGUACUUGAAGGGCAGCCAAUUUUUGUAGAAAACCAAUAUUCCCCUUCUCUACAAGUCACAUUAUCACAAUUUCCAGUUUCGACGCCCUUUCCAUUACCAGAACGUGGCAUGCUGACGUCAUUGUCAUAUAUGCAAUGCUUACAAUCUUGCAAUAUGAUGAAUUUGUCGUCAACAAAUGACUUGUACAAGUCACAAGGUAAGUUAACAUUGAUCGUGUAUUUAUAAUUCAUUUCGAUUUUUUAUUCAUGCACUUACGGAAGUUAAAUUUGUAUUAUAGGCCAUGCAUUUGCGUACUACUAUCCACAUUUGUCGGAUCAAGGUAAAACUGGUUUUUUGAUGCUUUUCGGAUAGCCCAUGCAGUUGAUGGAAUAAGUUACUUUUGUUUAUUUCGAACUUGAACACCCUGCCCCUGUAUUGGAUGGGAACAAGGAUUACAAAGUUGGUUGCUUAUGUAUGUAUUUUACUCAUUUGUAGCUUGGCAGCAGAGUCCACUUUGCCCAUUCGAAUGUUAUGUUUUUGUAUACACCACCCAUUUCGAAUCGAGAUCUUGUAUUUGGAGAAUGAUCACUAAGAUAUUUAAGCACCUAGCAAGUUGCAGC